Molecule: ribosomal RNA, 3563 nt
Filed under: Hevea brasiliensis (rubber tree)
Lineage: Eukaryota; Viridiplantae; Streptophyta; Magnoliopsida; Malpighiales; Euphorbiaceae
Description: eukaryotic LSU rRNA
Rfam family: Eukaryotic large subunit ribosomal RNA
Source: RNAcentral
CGCGACCCCAGGCAGGCGGGAACACCCGCUGAGUUUAAGCAAUCAAUAAGCCGGGAGGAAAAAAGAAACUUAUCCAGGAUUCCCUAGUAAACGCGAGCCGAACGGGAAGAGCCAGCUUGAAGAUCGGCGACCUCGGCGUACAAUGAGAUAGUCUGGAGAAGCGUCCUCAGCGGCGGACGGGCCCAAGUCCCCUGGAAGGGGGCGCCGGAGAAGGGUAGAGGCCCCGUCGUGCCCGGACCCUGUCUGCAGCCAACGAGGCGGCUGUCUGCAGUCGGGUUGUUUGGGAAAUGCAGCCCCAAUGCGGCGGUAAAUUCCGUCCAAGGCUAAAUGACGUGCGAUGAGACCGAUAGCGGAACAGUACCGUGCGAGGGAAAGAUGAAAAGUUAAGACUUUUGAAAAGAGAGUCAAAAGAUGGCUUUGAAAUGUCGGAAGGGAAGCGAUGGGGGCGGCCGAUUUGCGCCCGGUCGGAUGUGGAACGGGACAAGCCGUCCGCCGAUCGGCUCGGGGCGCGGACCGACGCGGAUCGCGGCGGCGGCCCAAGCACGGGCACUAAGAAAACGCCCGGCGGAGACGCGCCGUCGGCAGCGAUCGUGGACAUACAGCGCGCGCCGUCAGCGGCGUGCCCGGCACCGCCGCUGCGCUCCUGGGCGUCGGGCCAGCGGGCUCCCACAUUCGGCCCCGUCUUAAACACGGACCCAACGGAGGUCUGACAUUGGCGAUUCAACGGGCGAGUAAACCAACGUAAGGCGCAAGGAACUGACGGCAGGAUCCCCUCGAGGGUUGCAACCGCCGACCGACUCUGACUUCUGAGAAGGGUUCGAGUGAGAGCAUGCCUGUCGGGACCCGAAAGAUGGUGAACUAUGCCUGAAGCGGGGCGAAGCCAGAGGAAACUCUGGUGGAGGCCCGCAGCGAUACUGCGUUGCAAAUCGUUCGUCUGAUCUUGGGUAAAAUACGGGGCGAAAGACUAAUCGAACCGUCUAGUAGCUGGUUCCCUCCGAAGUUCCUCAAGGAUAAGCUGGAGCAUCGGGACGAUUCUAGUGGGGGUAAAGCCAAUUGAUUAGUAGGCAAUCGGGGAUGGCCAUACUCCCUCUUCGGUACUUAUUUCUUCAAUACUUUAGAAUAGGUAGGUACUGGCGCGGUCCUGCUUUCGCUGAGCGGCGCCCUCGGAAAUCGAGUAAGCUCCUAGUGGCCAUUUUUGGUAAUGUCAGAACUGGCUGUAUUGCGGGAUGAAUUCUCGGAAGCCGGGUUACGUGUGUCCCAACUGCCUGCGCUAACCCAGAACCUCCAUUAGGGUUGUUGGUCGAUUAAGACAGCAGGGUACGGGUGGUCAUGUGAAGUUCGAAAUUCUCGCUAAGGAUUGUUGUAACAACUCACGCUGCCGAAUUCAACUAUGCCCGAAAUAUUGGAUGCGCUUAAGCUGCUGUCUGAGCUAUACUCCGGCCUGUUCGGGGCAAUGAUGCCAGGUUCCCCGAUUGAGUAAGGGAGGGCGCGGCUGGUCCCUGCUGCAUUAAACUCCGUGGUCCGCUGGAUGCCCGGUGCGGAGCGGCCGUUCCGGUGCUGACUUGGUGUUUAGUAGCAAAAUAUCAAAUGAGGAACUUUGAAGGCCGAAGAGGGGUAAAGGUUCCAUGUGAAUCGGCAGCUUGCACAUGGUUUAUGUCGAGAUCCUAAGAGACGGGGGAAUGCCGGCCCGCAGCGCGUCCGGCAGGCGCGAAGGCCUUCGAAAGGAAUCGGGUAAAAUCCGAAAUCCGGGACGCGGCGGCUGAUCGGCAACGUUAGCGGAGUCGGAGACGUUCGGCGGGGCCUCUGGAAGAGUUAUCUGUUUUCUGUUUUAACAGCCCGCCACCUAGGAAACGACUCAGUCGGCAGGUAGGGUCCAGCGGCCGGAAGAGGCACCGCACGUCGCGCGUGGUCCCGGUGCGCCCCCGGCGGCCCGUGAAAAUCCCGGAGGACGAGUGCCUCCCCCCGCGCCUCUGGUUCGGUACUCCAAUAACCGCAUCCACAAGUCUCCAAGGUGAACAGCCUCUGGACAAUGAACAUGUAGGCAAGGGAAGUCGGCAAAAACGGAUCCGUAAACUCGGGAAAAGAUUGGCUCCUGAGGCUGGGCCCCGGGGUUCCCAGUCCCCGGACAUCGUCGGCUGUCGCAGGACUGCUCGAGCUGCUCCCGCGGCGAGAAGCGGGUCGCCGAGUGCCGGCCGGGGAACGGAACUGGGAACGCCGCCUCCGGGGGCCUUCCCCGCGGCGUCGAACAGUCGACCAGAACUGGUACGACAAAGGGAAUCCGACUGUUUAAAUUAAAACAAAGCAGUUGCGAUGGUCCCUGGCGGUAUUGCUCACGCAAUGUGAUUUCCUGCCCCCAGUUGCAUCUGAAUGUCAAAGUGAAGAAAUUCAACCAAAGCGCGGUGUAAGACGGCGGGAGUAACUAUGACUCUAAUUGGUAGCCAAAUGCCUCGUCAUCUAAUUAGUGACGCGCAUGAAUGGAUUAAGAAGAUUCGCCACUGUCCCUGUCUACUAUCCACGGAAACCACAAAGCCCAAGGAACGGGCUUGGCGGAAAUCAGCGGGGGAAAGAAGACCCUGUUGGCUUGACUCUAGUCCGACUUUUGGUGAAAUGACUUGAGAGUGUAGGAUAAGUGGGACCCGGCAAAACGGGCGACGGUGAAAUACCACACUUUUAACGUUAUUUACUUAUUCCCGUGAAUCGGGGCGGGGCCUCGCCCUCUUUUGGACCAGGCCGCCACGAGCGGCCGAUUCCGGCGGAAGAACCAUUGUCAGGUGGGAGUUUUGGCUGGGGGCGGCACAUCUGUUAAAGAGAUAACGCCAGGUGUCCUAAGAUGAGGCCUCAACGAGAACAGAAAUCUCGUGUGGAACAAAAGGUAAAAGCCUCGUUUUAUUCUGAUUUCCCAGUACGAAUUACGACCGUGAAACGUGGCCUUAUCGAUCUUUAGAACCUUCGGAAUUGAAGCUAGAGGUGUCAAAAAGUUACCACAGGGAUAACUGGCUUUGCAAGACAAAGCGUUCAUAGCGACGUUGCUUUUGACCUCCGGAUGUUCGGCUCUUUCUAUCAAAUUGUGAAGCAGAAUUCACCAAUGUUGGAUUGUUCCACCCACCAAUAGGGAACGUGGAGCUGGUUUAGACCGUCGUGAGACAGUUUAGUUUUACCCUACUGGAUGACCGGCGUCGCGAUGGUAAAUUAACCUAUACGAGGGAACCGUUGAAUGUCGCACAAUUGGUCAUUCCGGCGCUUGGUUUGAAAAGCCAGUGCGCAAGCUACCGUGCGCUGGAAUUAAUGACUGAACGCCUCUAAGUCAGAACCGGGCCAGAAGCGACGCCCGUGUCCGCGCCCGCUUACCGACCGCGCAGUAGGGGCCCUCCGGCCCCCAGAGGCACGUGCCUGGCCAAGCCUCCCGCGGCGGACGAGCCGCGCGGGCCGGCCUUGAGUAAACUAUUCCCACCGGGCGUCGGGGGCCAAGAAUCCUUUGCAAAGACGACUUAAAUACGCGACGGGGUAUUGUAAGUGGCAGAGUGGCCUUGCGCCCAACGAUCCACUGAGAUUCAGCCCUUUGU